UAGUCUUAUCCCUUCUGUUUUCCAAUUUCUUGAAGUUUUUUGUCCAAUUGGCACUAUUGGUCUUUUUACAUCUGACUUUUGAACCCUCUUAAAAGGCACAUAGACGGGUCAUGCUUCCUUGCUAGCUCUGUUCCUUCUAGAGUUACGAACUUAAUUGCCUGAGAGAAAAACUAUUUUAAAAAAAGAAAUAAAGCACAGCUGCUUUGACCUGGAACAAGCCUUCCUUCCCUGAAAGGAUUGCCUAGGAUCUCCUUCCAGAACAAAGGAGAAUUUCAAGAUCUGCAGAGCUCCAAUACUGCUUACGCUGUAUAGAAGAGAGAGUACACUACAUAUAAAAAGUCUUCAAACCAUUCCUUCAGAAGUUCAAUUCACCCCAAUUAAAAAACACCUAAGGAUUAAUUCAGUUAGGGAAUAGUCCCUUGGUCUCUCUGCCCAUUACUUCCACUGAAUGUUUAAUGGAAGAACCUUGGUCUUACUGGUUAAGUCUGUAUAUCAUUCAUUGAAAAGACAACAGUUUUAUCGAACAUGCUGAUGAAUGUCUGUGUCAGAGUGGUGUAAAAAUGGUGAUUAGAGCACGCUGGUGGGCAAUGGAGAAAUUUAUAUCUAUUGUGGGUAGAACUCAUUCUGAAGGUUAAAGGAUUUGUUGUUGCUUUCUCAGUUGUGCUUUCAAAUAGAUCAAAUAUGAUCUAAGUGCGGUGCAGAUGAGGAUCUGGAUCAUGUAAGAAAGGGAAGUAGUUUAAUAGGAUUCUGAGGUUGGAAAUAACCAAAGUAGAGCAGAUCUAGAAAAUCCCUGUUUGUGGGUUUUUGGGGGUUUUUUUCGCAAUCUUCAGAAUUUUGAUAUAAAAUGUAUUAUCAUAUGGGGUCAUUAUAUUAAGAAACAGCAAUUUAAGAAACUUCAACUAAGCAAUAAUUUUUGAGAUAAUUCUGAGCUAGUAAUUAGAUUUAUCUAUUCUUUUAACAUCUAAAAUUUACAAACAAAGAUCACAAGGAAGGAUUCAUACAAAAUAUAAGAAAGGAUAUUUACCUUGUUCAAUCAAGUAUGCUUAAAAAAACCCCACAAAAUAAAUAUAAAAAAAUUAAAGCA
RNAcentral lists this long non-coding RNA (1084 nucleotides) under Cyanistes caeruleus (blue tit). RNAcentral's name for it is "lncRNA (ENSCCEG00000012516.1)". Lineage: Eukaryota; Metazoa; Chordata; Aves; Passeriformes; Paridae. The record is from RNAcentral.